Molecule: long non-coding RNA, 486 nt
Organism: Pygocentrus nattereri (red-bellied piranha)
Lineage: Eukaryota; Metazoa; Chordata; Actinopteri; Characiformes; Serrasalmidae
Exons: 3
Source: RefSeq, a predicted model, not a curated record
AAUUGCAUUCAGUUGUUCAUAGAAAUCUGUAGGUCCAUCCAUUGUUCUGAGAACACCAACAGCUUCUUGACACCUACACAUCCUUUCCUACCCACAGCAUUAAGUUGCGGAUGAAUGGACAGAAACAGCCAUGGAUGUUUGGAUUUAUACAGACCAGAAACAAGAACCCCUUGAGGUUCCGGAGUCGCAGCACCUUUCAUUAGCGCUGGCUCCAGCCCUGCUGUCCGGGCAUCAUUAGCAAUCUCAGAAAUCAGCGGCAGACGACGGGUCAUUCUUCAUCUACCUGUCCGCCACCACGGCCAGCAGCGCUCACCCCAUCCUCCACUCCACUCCUCCACCCAUCCACCCAUCCACGCUCUUGCUGUAUAUAUACAUACAAAUGUACAGAGAGCACACCAGGGCACGAGCGAGAGAGCGAGGACCUGAAUGAACAAGAAAAGAGGAAGACACAGAUUCUCUUCGUUCUCUGAGUAACUCACCUACAGA